GUACACACCGCCCGUCACACCAUGGGAGUCGGUAACACCCGAAGCCUGUAGUCUAACCGCAAGGAGGACGCAGUCGAAGGUGGGAUUGAUGACUGGGGUGAAGUCGUAACAAGGUACC
RNAcentral lists this ribosomal RNA (118 nucleotides) under uncultured bacterium. RNAcentral's name for it is "partial 16S ribosomal RNA". It matches the Rfam family "Bacterial small subunit ribosomal RNA", at positions 1383 to 1500 of the family's 1533-position model. The record is from RNAcentral.